AUUGAACGCUGGCGGCAGGCCUAACACAUGCAAGUCGAGCGGAAGAAGGGUGCUUUCGCGUGGAUUCAGCGGGGGACGGGUGUGUAAUGCCUAGGAAUCUGCCUGGUAGUAGGGGCUAACAUCCGGAAACGAGCGCUAAUACCACCUGAGUGCUGAGGCAGAAGGUGGGGGAUCUUCGGACCUCACGCUCUCAGAUGAGCCUAGGUGGGAUUAGCUAGUUGGUGGGGUAAAGGCCUACCAAGGCGACGAUCGGUAGCUGGUCUGAGAGGAUGAUCAGUCACACUGGAACUGAGACACGGUCCAGACUCCUACGGGAGGCAGCAGUGGGGAAUAUUGGACAAUGGGCGAAAGCCUGAUCCAGCCAUGCCGCGUGUGUGAAGAAGGUCUUCGGAUUGUAAAGCACUUUUAGUUGGGAGGAAGGGCAGUAGGUUAAUACCUUGCUGUUUUGACGGUACCAGCAGAAUAAGCACCGGCUAACUACGUG
Molecule: ribosomal RNA, 484 nt
Filed under: uncultured bacterium
Lineage: Bacteria
Description: partial 16S ribosomal RNA
Rfam family: Bacterial small subunit ribosomal RNA
Source: RNAcentral